GACGAACGCUGGCGGCGUGCUUAACACAUGCAAGUCGAACGGAAAGGCCCUGCUUUUGUGGGGUGCUCGAGUGGCGAACGGGUGAGUAACACGUGAGUAACCUGCCCUUGACUUUGGGAUAACUUCAGGAAACUGGGGCUAAUACCGGAUAGGAGCUCCUGCCGCAUGGUGGGGGUUGGAAAGUUUCGGCGGUUGGGGAUGGACUCGCGGCUUAUCAGCUUGUUGGUGGGGUAGUGGCUUACCAAGGCUUUGACGGGUAGCCGGCCUGAGAGGGUGACCGGCCACAUUGGGACUGAGAUACGGCCCAGACGCCUACGGGAGGCAGCAGUGGGGAAUAUUGCACAAUGGGCGGAAGCCUGAGGCAGCAACGCCGCGUGCGGGAUGACGGCCUUCGGGUUGUAAACCGCUUUCGCCUGUGACGAAGCGUGAGUGACGGUAAUGGGUAAAGAAGCACCGGCUAACUACGUG
RNAcentral lists this ribosomal RNA (468 nucleotides) under uncultured bacterium. RNAcentral's name for it is "partial 16S ribosomal RNA". It matches the Rfam family "Bacterial small subunit ribosomal RNA", at positions 28 to 507 of the family's 1533-position model. The record is from RNAcentral.